Molecule: transfer RNA, 73 nt
Filed under: Canis lupus familiaris (dog)
Lineage: Eukaryota; Metazoa; Chordata; Mammalia; Carnivora; Canidae
Also listed under: 1 other name
Rfam family: tRNA
About the family: Transfer RNA (tRNA) molecules are approximately 80 nucleotides in length.
Source: Rfam by way of RNAcentral
GCCUGGCUGGCUCAGUGGGUAGAGCAUGUGACUCUUGAUCUUGGGAUUGUGAGUUCAAGUCACAUGCUAGAUA